RNAcentral lists this ribosomal RNA (405 nucleotides) under uncultured bacterium. RNAcentral's name for it is "bacterial SSU rRNA". It matches the Rfam family "Bacterial small subunit ribosomal RNA", at positions 28 to 417 of the family's 1533-position model. The record is from RNAcentral.
GACGAACGCUGGCGGCGUGCCUAACACAUGCAAGUCGUGCGAGAAAGUUCCUUCGGGAGCGAGUAAAGCGGCGCACGGGUGAGUAACACGUAGGUAACCUGCCCCCCAGUCUGGAACAACUAGAGGAAACUCUAGCUAAUGCCGGAUGAGACCACGAUCCCUUCGGGGGUUGCGGCCAAAGAUGGCCUCUACUUGUAAGCUAUCGCUGAGGGAUGGGCCUGCGGGCCAUUAGCUUGUUGGUGAGGUAACGGCUCACCAAGGCUGUGAUGGCUAGCUGGUCUGAGAGGAUGACCAGCCACACUGGGACUGAGACACGGCCCAGACUCCUACGGGAGGCAGCAGUGGGGAAUAUUGCGCAAUGGGCGAAAGCCUGACGCAGCGACGCCGCGUGGGUGAUGAAGGCCU